AUUGAACGCUGGCGGCAUGCCUUACACAUGCAAGUCGAACGGCAGCGGACCUUCGGGUGCCGGCGAGUGGCGAACGGGUGAGUAAUAUAUCGGGAACGUACCUUUCAGUGGGGGAGUAACGUAGCGAAAGUUACGCUAAUACCGCAUAUUCUGUGAGCAGGAAAGCAGGGGAUCGCAAGACCUUGCGCUGAUUGAGCGGCCGAUAUCAGAUUAGCUAGUUGGUGAGGUAAAGGCUCACCAAGGCGACGAUCUGUAGCGGGUCUGAGAGGAUGAUCCGCCACACUGGAACUGAGACACGGUCCAGACUCCUACGGGAGGGCAGCAGUGGGGAAUUUUGGACAAUGGGCGCAAGCCUGAUCCAGCCACGCCGCGUGAGUGAAGAAGGCCU
Molecule: ribosomal RNA, 388 nt
Filed under: uncultured bacterium
Lineage: Bacteria
Description: bacterial SSU rRNA
Rfam family: Bacterial small subunit ribosomal RNA
Source: RNAcentral